UCCAGGCCGUGAAGGCCUGCGCUCCAGCCUUGCCACGCAGCACACCUCCCAGACAGGAGGGCAGCGGGAGGGCCCAGGCCACUCUGCCCACAAGUGACUGGCACAGACUUGACCUUGGGCCUCCUGGCGCAGGUCUGGGCGGCCGUCCCUUCUCAGUGGCCCCUUGCCACCUCACUUUGAUUCAGGUGGGUGACAGCACAAGGAUGCCCUGGGACAGUCCCAGGGAGCCUGAUUCUUUCUGCAAGAAGCUACACCACGGCCCUGUGCGUCCUCUGCUGACCGCCUCCCAGCAGGUUGGGUGACGAACAAAGGGGAGGCGAAUCUCAGCUGAGCUGAAAUCACAACACAGCAGGAUCGGCCCCCCAGGUUGAGGAGAAAGCCGCCUUUCUGAGUGGAGAAGAGAACUGAUCGUGUCCAUGGCCUUGACCGGGGCCUCAGCCCACAGCUGGGCCUGGACCGCUGCUCCUGGCCGCCCCUCUCAUGGGUCUCUGGGGAUUUCUCUGCUCUAAGCUGACCCCUUCCUUGCUGUCGGGGCUUCUGUCUCCACUCAAGAGCUCUGCGCGGCUCCUUGCCUGCUUCUGUGGGUGUGCGUAUGCGUGUGCACGUGCGUGUGUGGACUGUGAGACAAGGAGAUCCCAAGCACACUCUGCCCACGCACAGAGCCCCUUGGAGUCAGCCUGGGCCGGGGCUGGGCCGUCCUUCCCGGCGCCUCUGCAACCCUCCUGGCUGACGCUGCCUGCAUAUUCCCGGCGAAUGGUGCUCCUGAGACCUCCACGGGCCCAGGCUGCGUCAUUCCCACCCUCCCUGAGCCCUGGGACUGGCUGGGCACGGCUCCAGCCCUGGGAACUCCGCCUGAUGCUUUUCCCUUCUUCGAAACUUCCCUCUAUGAUUCAAUGAAAUGUCCUCUGCUUCUCAUUGCCUGGCUGGGCCGGGCUGACUUGGCAGCAUGAGGCAGAGCACACUGGACCUGUCUGGCCUGUGUUCUGCCCUGGAUGUGCUGUGUGACCUCAGGAGAGUCCCUUCACUCUCUGGGCCUCAGCUUUCUCAUCUGUGAGUGGAACAGGAGGAUGGAGGAGAGGUGUGUCUCCCAGUGGAAGAUGAGAGAGUGGGACCUUCCCGGGGUCCUCACGCUUGCCUCUCAGCUCAUUGGUGGGCUCUGCCCAUUCCUUCUUUGCGGAGUUCAUUGGAACCUAAGCCAGAACUUUCCAUUCUGCCCUUCUGGCCAAACCUGUGUACGGAUCACUGGUCCUGGGCUCAGCUCUGGUGACCUAGCAUUGGAACUCACCCACAGUCCCAAUAAGAUCCCCCUCCAAGA
This is a non-coding RNA of Ictidomys tridecemlineatus (thirteen-lined ground squirrel), 1315 nucleotides long. Lineage: Eukaryota; Metazoa; Chordata; Mammalia; Rodentia; Sciuridae. The record is from RefSeq and is a predicted model, not a curated record.